Molecule: long non-coding RNA, 756 nt
Filed under: Mytilus galloprovincialis (Mediterranean mussel)
Lineage: Eukaryota; Metazoa; Mollusca; Bivalvia; Mytilida; Mytilidae
Source: RNAcentral
AUUCAUUUCUUGGUAACUGCCCCUAAAAUGUUUACCGCAUGAAAAGUUUGCAGUUUUCGAUUAUUGUCUUGAAUAUUAUUAUAGAUAGAGAGAACUUUAAACCGUAUGAAAAGUUUGCAGUUUUCGAUUAUUGUCUUGAAUAUUAUUAUAGAUAGGGAGAAACGUUAAACAGCAAAAACGUCAACAAAAUAGAAACUACGAAUAAGUUGGUAUGACUGAAAUUGUCAAUCUCCCAUUAUUGACAAUGGACGAUUUUUACAAUUAUUUGGUUGUUUUUAAACUAUGACAAAAAUUAUGACAGAAACAGAAAAACUAAAUUACAUUUUUGAUACACUAAAUAUAAAAAAGAAGAUGUGGUAUGAUUGCCAAUGAGACAACUAUCCACAAAAGACCAAAAUGACACAGACAUUAACAACUAUAGGUCACCGUUCGGCCUUCAACAAUUAGCAAAGCCCAUACCGCAUAGUGAGCUAUAAAAGGCCCCGAUAAGACAAUGUAAAACAAUUCAAACGAGAAAACUAACGGCCUUAUUUAUGUAAAAAAAAACAUAGUUUUAACAUCACAGUGUCACCACAGGUAACCUUUCUGCACUAAAUUGUAAUUUUGUUAGCCUGUUCAAUUAACUACACAAUUCACUUAAACUUUUACUGGCAAGAGAGUAUACUACAUUUUAUAAAUGCAAUUUUGGGUCCAAAUGAUGACUUUUAUCAUACCUCCUUCUUAUGAUAAAAUAUUUAUAUCGUUUACUUUAGAUUU